GUCCCCUAGGGAGGCAGCAGUGGGGAAUAUUGCACAAUGGGCGAAAGCCUGAUGCAGCAACGCCGCGUGAGCGAUGAAGGCCUUCGGGUCGUAAAGCUCUGUCCUCAAGGAAGAUAAUGACGGUACUUGAGGAGGAAGCCCCGGCUAACUACGUGCCAGCAGCCGCGGUAAUACGUAGGGGGCUAGCGUUAUCCGGAAUUACUGGGCGUAAAGGGUGCGUAGGUGGUUUCUUAAGUCAGAGGUGAAAGGCUACGGCUCAACCGUAGUAAGCCUUUGAAACUGAGAAACUUGAGUGCAGGAGAGGG
RNAcentral lists this ribosomal RNA (305 nucleotides) under uncultured bacterium. RNAcentral describes it as "bacterial SSU rRNA". It matches the Rfam family "Bacterial small subunit ribosomal RNA", at positions 334 to 658 of the family's 1533-position model. The record is from RNAcentral.